AAGUCCUGCGUGAGCACAAAGGGGACCCGCUCCCGCUUGUAACCGAACUUCUUUUUCUUGUGGUCCAGGAAGUGACCGAAGUCGAUGUGGAAGAGCUGCAGGACAGUUGUAGAAUGAACGUGGCCACACAGUAGCCGGCGCACGACCUGGUAAACAAGUCGAUGGCACGGUCAUACCUGAAAGGUGAUGUAAAGUGUUGGAGUUAAACUGCAGCGCCCCCUUCAGGCCUCCUUUGCACUGAAUCUGCAUGAUGGUGAAACUGCUCUUGACCACCUCGAUGAGACCAACACAGUCGCCGAUGGACAGGCAUCCAUAGGGAAGCAUGCUGAGACCAACAGACACAAAAUCUGGAAAACACUCAAACACGAGUUGGUUACAAGGGAGCCACAUGACCCGCCAUCCCGUGCAACACUUUCUACCAUCGCCGUUCUUGAAGAUGAUCUCGUUGUUGGUGAAAAGCAGCUCCGACAUGAUGUCGGGGUUCUCCCAGUUCAGCCACAGCGGACGCUUUGCCGACGACAUUAUCCUGCACUCCUCCAGCCUGGCCACACAGAUCGAGUUUCACAGACUCACAACAGCAGCAUUGGUGGAGGGAGUAUCACCUGAGGUGUCCCAGCUGGUGCACGGGGUUCAAAGGAGAGACAAAUCCCUGCAGAGCUUCCAUGUAAUCUGGACGGGACAUGUGCUCCACCAGGAACUUCAUCUGAGUCUAAAGAAGCAAUCGCCGCAUGGGAUUAUGGAACAAGUCAGACUCGGGUGUGUGGCUCCACGCUUCCGUUCCUUACUUUCUGCGUUUCGUCUUUCUUUUCCUGUUUCAGCGUAUCCGUGAGGUUCACCAGUUUAUCCAUGGCCUCCACCUGCAUGCACGCAUGCAUAGAUCCCAUGGUUCAACCAAUCAAGGACCGAAUAACGGACAGAAGGGGCCUCCCCUCACCUGUCGGUUCAAGUGUUUGAGGUACAUGCCACAUGCUCUGCAGAAGGCUUCCAGCAGCAAGCCAAAGCGACGCGACACCGUCUUAUUGUGCAUCUCUGACCUGAUGACGGCAACACGCCAAUGUCAAUUCCGCCCGUCGGCCUCUCAAAUCAUCAACCUCUGACCGUCUUGCUCACUUGAGAUGCCAGAAGAAGAAGUGUCCAAUCCUCUGAUUAGUCAAGGCUUUCUUGAUCAGGAAACGGGCCAGCGGGUUGUCCAGGGUGGCGUAUCUUUCCCUGAGGACAGAGAUGGCAAGUCCAAGUCCAGAUAGUAAAAACUCCGCCACAGUUUACGUUUCGCCACAGGUGCUUCAACUCAAACGGCAGGUAAACAAGCUCUUGAGACGAAGCGCGUGUGACGAAAGCCAAACUGUGGCAGGGUUUUUACUCUCCGGACCUGGAUUUGCACACCUCUGCCUCUAGGUGAGUAGCGAACCUGUACGAGCUGCAGUAGGUACUGGGAAAGCUUGUCGUCCGUCAGACUCUGGACCAGGCAGCGCAGCGCAAACUCUCUCACCAUCGGGUCAGGAAAGUUGCAGUCCAGUAACUCCAGAGCUGACUCGGACUCCAUCAGAGGCCACUCCUUCAAAAGGCAGUACAUCUGGCAAGAGGAGUUGGGCAGAUAAGUAAGCAAUGAGUUCA
Molecule: long non-coding RNA, 1614 nt
Organism: Hippocampus zosterae (dwarf seahorse)
Lineage: Eukaryota; Metazoa; Chordata; Actinopteri; Syngnathiformes; Syngnathidae
Exons: 6
Source: RefSeq, a predicted model, not a curated record